Molecule: long non-coding RNA, 443 nt
Organism: Oreochromis niloticus (Nile tilapia)
Lineage: Eukaryota; Metazoa; Chordata; Actinopteri; Cichliformes; Cichlidae
Source: Ensembl
AAAUAAUGAACAGUAGAUGGCAGUAACACACCACUGAUGCAUCUAGCCUGCCAAACCCAAAGAAGAAGAACAUGGCAGCAAGAUUUCUGAAAGAUUCACUCACUUUUCAACAAUCCCACCAAAUAUUGUAGAUUAUGAUUGUAAGAGGCCUGUCUGAACUUAAUAUACAGAUUUCAUGCUGUUGUUAACGGUGUGAUUUCUGAUGGUUAUGUUUAAGAGCACCUCACAAGGAAGGCGCACACCCUCAUCAAGAGCUGCUCUAUGGCCACAGAAUCUGGUCAGAAGAGAUUUUCCAGUGCCUACUCCCCUGGGUUCAGGAGGGUGAAGUGGAACAGGUACAUCCUAAUGCAGUUUAUGAACACAUGACUGGUUAUCAUGUCUUCAACUCGCACUGAGCUGACAUCAGUGUGGUUGUUGAUCCUGCAAAACAGGAUGGUUUAAAC